Molecule: ribosomal RNA, 492 nt
Filed under: uncultured bacterium
Lineage: Bacteria
Description: partial 16S ribosomal RNA
Rfam family: Bacterial small subunit ribosomal RNA
Source: RNAcentral
GAUGAACGCUAGCUGCAGGCUUAACACAUGCAAGUCGAGGGGAAACGACAUCGAAAGCUUGCUUUUGAUGGGCGUCGACCGGCGCACGGGUGAGUAACGCGUAUCCAACCUGCCCACCACUUGGGGAUAACCUUGCGAAAGUAAGACUAAUACCCAAUGAUAUCCCACGAAGACAUCUGAAUGGGAUUAAAGAUUUAUCGGUGAUGGAUGGGGAUGCGUCUGAUUAGCUUGUUGGCGGGGUAACGGCCCACCAGGGCAACGAUCAGUAGGGGUUCUGAGAGGAAGGUCCCCCACAUUGGAACUGAGACACGGUCCAAACUCCUACGGGAGGCAGCAGUGAGGAAUAUUGGUCAAUGGGCGAGAGCCUGAACCAGCCAAGUAGCGUGCAGGAAGACGGCCCUAUGGGUUGUAAACUGCUUUUAUAAGGGAAUAAAGUGGGUCACGUGUGACUUUUUGCAUGUACCUUAUGAAUAAGGACCGGCUAAUUCCGUG